GGAUUUCCCUAGUACUGCGAGUGAACAGGGAUUAGCCCAGCACCGAAGCCUGUGGUUAUUUGACUGCAAGGCAAUGUGGUGUUUAGGUUUGUUCUUGGCAUUACUGCUCUGCCCCAAGUCCAGCAAUGAGUACGGCAUACCGUUCUGGCCCAUAGAGGGUGAAAGGCCCGUGGGGGUAGAGACCAAGCAUGACAGUUUUGUCCAGAGCUUACCUUGGAGUCGGGUUGUUUGAGAAUGCAGCCCAAAGUGGGUGGUAAACUCCAUCCAAGGCUAAAUACUUGCACGAGUCCGAUAGUAAACAAGUACCGUGAGGGAAAGUUGAAAAGUACUUUGAAGAGAGAGUAAACAGUGCGUGAAACCGCUCAGAGGUAAACGGGUGGAGUUGAACUGCGAUCCUUGGGAAUUCAGCUGAUGAGCAUGAUUUGUGCUUGGGCAUAUUGACCGCCUUUCAGUGUCUGCUUAGCUGCGGGUGCCUGCCUCUGGUGGGUAUGUGUGGUGCGCUUAUCAUGUGCCGCACGCAUUGGAGGGUGUAUGAGUCUGCUUGUCGGUGCACUUUCUCAGGGUGUUCACCACGACCGGCACUGCUGUCUGUCUGCUUUGGUCAAACUGAUCAGGUCUGAUUAACGUUGGGCUUGGUUGGGGUGGCAGGUGACUCACUGGUCCAUUCUGUGGGCUAUGAGUGUUACUAGCCGGCUUUAGUGGAUCUGUACGGUGUGUCGGAGACGGCGGCUUUGCAUAUGCGCUCUGUCCUUCAGGCGUGGUUGAGUCUGGUCGACUUGUUGCUAGUUUCGGCUGGUCAGUUGAUGGCUUGAUCAUGUUCAGUUGGCAGUGGUGUGUGUGUCUUAGUUUGGGCCAAUAGUCUGUGGUGUUGUGGUAGACUAUCCACCUGACCCGUCUUGAAACACGGACCAAGGAGUUUAACAUGUGCGCGAGUCAUUGGGCUUUACGAAACCCAAAGGCGCAGUGAAGGUAAAGGCUUGGCUUGUCCAGGCUGAGGUGAGAUCCUGUUGUUUUGCUCAUUCAUUCCAAGCUGCGAGCAGCAGGCGCAUCACCGGCCCGUCCCAUGACGUAGACAUGUGGCCUUGUGCUAUGUGCACCGUCGGGGCGGAGCAAGAGCGUACAUGUUGAGACCCGAAAGAUGGUGAACUAUGCUUGCGAAGGUUGAAGCCAGAGGAAACUCUGGUGGAGGACCGUAGCGAUUCUGACGUGCAAAUCGAUCGUAUAACGUGAGUAUAGGGGCGAAAGACUAAUCGAACCAUCUAGUAGCUGGUUCCCUCCGAAGUUUCCCUCAGGAUAGC
Molecule: ribosomal RNA, 1298 nt
Filed under: Trichobilharzia physellae
Lineage: Eukaryota; Metazoa; Platyhelminthes; Trematoda; Strigeidida; Schistosomatidae
Description: eukaryotic LSU rRNA
Rfam family: Eukaryotic large subunit ribosomal RNA
Source: RNAcentral